Molecule: ribosomal RNA, 252 nt
Filed under: uncultured bacterium
Lineage: Bacteria
Description: partial 16S ribosomal RNA
Rfam family: Bacterial small subunit ribosomal RNA
Source: RNAcentral
UACGGAGGAUGCGAGCGUUAUCCGGAUUUAUUGGGUUUAAAGGGUGCGCAGGCGGCGUGUCAAGUCAGCGGUAAAAUGUCGGGGCUCAACCCCGGCCGGCCGUUGAAACUGGCGUGCUCGGGUUGGAGAGAAGUAUGCGGAAUGCGUGGUGUAGCGGUGAAAUGCAUAGAUAUCACGCAGAACUCCGAUUGCGAAGGCAGCAUACCGGCGCCCUACUGACGCUGAGGCACGAAAGCGUGGGUAUCGAACAGG